Molecule: ribosomal RNA, 235 nt
Filed under: uncultured bacterium
Lineage: Bacteria
Description: partial 16S ribosomal RNA
Rfam family: Bacterial small subunit ribosomal RNA
Source: RNAcentral
UACAGAGGGUGCGAGCGUUGUCCGGAAUCACUGGGCGUAAAGGGCGCGUAGGUGGCGCCGCAAGUCCAUGGUGAAAGCUCGAUGCUCAACAUCGAGUCGGCCACGGAGACUGCGGGGCUCGAGCACUGUAGGGGCAGAUGGGAAUUCCGGGUGUAGCGGUGGAAUGCGUAGAGAUCCGGAAGAACACCGGUGGCGAAGGCGGUCUGCUGGGCAGUUGCUGACACUGAGGGCGCGA